This 450-nucleotide ribosomal RNA is filed under the name uncultured bacterium. Its description in RNAcentral is "partial 16S ribosomal RNA". It matches the Rfam family "Bacterial small subunit ribosomal RNA", at positions 354 to 796 of the family's 1533-position model. The record is from RNAcentral.
GUGGGGAAUAUUGGACAAUGGGCGAAAGCCUGAUCCAGCCAUGCCGCGUGUGUGAAGAAGGUCUUCGGAUUGUAAAGCACUUUAAGUUGGGAGGAAGGGCAGUAAGUUAAUACCUUGCUGUUUUGACGUUACCAACAGAAUAAGCACCGGCUAACUUCGUGCCAGCAGCCGCGGUAAUACGAAGGGUGCAAGCGUUAAUCGGAAUUACUGGGCGUAAAGCGCGCGUAGGUGGUUUUGUAAGUUGGAGGUGAAAUCCCCGGGCUCAACCUGGGAACUGCCUCCAAAACUGCAUGACUAGAGUACGGUAGAGGGUAGUGGAAUUUCCUGUGUAGCGGUGAAAUGCGUAGAUAUAGGAAGGAACACCAGUGGCGAAGGCGACUACCUGGACUGAUACUGACACUGAGGUGCGAAAGCGUGGGGUGCAAACAGGAUUAGAUACCCGGGUAGUCC